CCUACGGGAGGCAGCAGUGCGGAAUAUUGGUCAAUGGCCGGAAGGCUGAACCAGCCAUGCCGCGUGAAGGUCAGUGCCCUAUGGGCGUUAAACUUCUUUUGUGCGGGACGAAGAAAGUGACGGUACCGUCAGAAUAAGCCACGGCUAACUACGUGCCAGCAGCCGCGGUAAUACGUAGGUGGCAAGCGUUAUCCGGAUUUACUGGGUGUAAAGGGCGAGUAGGCGGGAUUGCAAGUCAGAUGUGAAAACUAUGGGCGCAACCGAUAGAGUGCAUUUGAAACUGCAGUUCUUGAGUGAUGGAGAGGCAGGCGGAAUUCCCGGUGUAGCGGUGGAAUGCGUAGAUAUCGGGAGGAACACCAGUGGCGAAGGCGGCCUGCUGGACAUUAACUGACGCUGAGGCGCGAAAGCGUGGGGAGCAAACAGGAUUAGAUACCCCUGUAGUC
RNAcentral lists this ribosomal RNA (443 nucleotides) under uncultured bacterium. RNAcentral describes it as "partial 16S ribosomal RNA". It matches the Rfam family "Bacterial small subunit ribosomal RNA", at positions 338 to 795 of the family's 1533-position model. The record is from RNAcentral.